RNAcentral lists this small RNA (332 nucleotides) under Oryza sativa Japonica Group (Japanese rice). RNAcentral describes it as "sRNA Os11g0112151". The record is from RNAcentral. Lineage: Eukaryota; Viridiplantae; Streptophyta; Magnoliopsida; Poales; Poaceae.
CCACAGCAAGGAUGUCAGCACAUGACACCACCUGCGGACAGAUCCCCUCAACCUGUGCCUUGAUGUUGUCUAUAACAUCGAAUCCACGCAGAGAGUUGUUGUUCGGGGCGGCGGUCUUCUCUCCAGUGAAGGUUGGGGUGUCAUCUAGCAGCACCGAUCCAUCACAACCCUGCAUUGUCAGAAUACUGAAGGUUAGCUAAUUAAUGGAAAACUCUACAGUCAGAAAGUGCAUGCAAGUGGAGAGGAUCAGAUGGGGGCAUGCCAACAUGACAAGAUACCCUUUGUGGUUUGGUCUUUUGAUCCCUCCACUAAGAUGUAACCAUCUAGAAGAA